RNAcentral lists this ribosomal RNA (497 nucleotides) under uncultured bacterium. Its description in RNAcentral is "partial 16S ribosomal RNA". It matches the Rfam family "Bacterial small subunit ribosomal RNA", at positions 28 to 507 of the family's 1533-position model. The record is from RNAcentral.
GAUGAACGCUGGCGGCGUGCCUAAUACAUGCAAGUCGAGCGAACGGACGAGAAGCUUGCUUCUCUGAUGUUAGCGGCGGACGGGUGAGUAACACGUGGAUAACCUACCUAUAAGACUGGGAUAACUUCGGGAAACCGGAGCUAAUACCGGAUAAUAUUUUGAACCGCAUGGUUCAAAAGUGAAAGACGGUCUUGCUGUCACUUAUAGAUGGAUCCGCGCUGCAUUAGCUAGUUGGUAAGGUAACGGCUUACCAAGGCAACGAUGCAUAGCCGACCUGAGAGGGUGAUCGUCCACACUGGAACUGAGACACGGUCCAGACUCCUACGGGAGGCAGCAGUCGGGAAUCUUCCGCAAUGGGCGAAAGCCUGACGGAGCAACGCCGCGUGAGUGAUGAAGGUCUUCGGAUCGUAAACCUCUGUUAUUAGGGAAGAACAUAUGUGUAAGUAACUGUGCACAUCUUGACGGUACCUAAUCAGAAAGCCACGGCUAACUACGUG